CCUACGGGUGGCAGCAGUGAGGAAUAUUGGUCAAUGGGCGAGAGCCUGAACCAGCCAAGUCGCGUGAAUGAUGACGGCCCUACGGGUUGUAAACUUCUUUUGUCAGGGAGCAAUUGUGUCCAUGCGUGGGCUUAGCGAGUGUAGCUGAAUAAAAAGCAUCGGCUGACUCCGUGCAAGCAGCCGCGGUAAUACGGAGGAUGCGAGCGUUAUCAGGAUUGAUUGGGUUUAAAGGGUGCGUAGGCGGAAUGUCAAGUCAGCGGUAAAGAUUCGGGGCUAAACCCCGUCGUGCAGUUGAAACUGAUGUUCUUGAGUGGGCGAGAAGUAUGCAGAAUGCGUGGUGUAGCGGUGAAAUGCAUAGAGAUCACGCAGAACUCCGAUUGCGAAGGCAGCAUACCGGCGCCCAACUGACGCUGAAGCACGAAAGCGUGGGUAUCGAACAGGAUUAGAUACCCCAGUAGUC
RNAcentral lists this ribosomal RNA (460 nucleotides) under uncultured bacterium. RNAcentral describes it as "partial 16S ribosomal RNA". It matches the Rfam family "Bacterial small subunit ribosomal RNA", at positions 338 to 795 of the family's 1533-position model. The record is from RNAcentral.